AGUGAACGCUGGCGGUAGGCCUAACACAUGCAAGUCGAACGGCAGCACAGGAGAGCCUGCUCUCUAGGUGGCGAGUGGCGGACGGGUGAGGAAUACAUCGGAAUCUGCCCAGUCGUGGGGGAUAACGUAGGGAAACUUACGCUAAUACCGCAUACGACCUUCGGGUGAAAGAGGGGGAUCGCAAGACCUCUCGCGAUUGGAUGAGCCGAUGUCGGAUUAGCUAGUUAGCGGGGUAAUGGCCCACCAAGGCGACGAUCCGUAGCUGGUCUGAGAGGAUGAUCAGCCACACUGGAACUGAGACACGGUCCAGACUCCUACGGGAGGCAGCAGUGGGGAAUAUUGGACAAUGGGCGCAAGCCUGAUCCAGCCAUACCGCGUGGGUGAAGAAGGCCUUCGGGUUGUAAAGCCCUUUUGUUGGGAAAGAAAUCUUUCAGGCUAAUACCCUGGGAGGAUGACGGUACCCAAAGAAUAAGCACCGGCUAACUUC
RNAcentral lists this ribosomal RNA (487 nucleotides) under uncultured bacterium. Its description in RNAcentral is "partial 16S ribosomal RNA". It matches the Rfam family "Bacterial small subunit ribosomal RNA", at positions 29 to 504 of the family's 1533-position model. The record is from RNAcentral.